This is a non-coding RNA of Bos taurus (domestic cattle), 73 nucleotides long. Lineage: Eukaryota; Metazoa; Chordata; Mammalia; Artiodactyla; Bovidae. The record is from Rfam.
UCCCUGAUGGCUCAGUCGGUAAAGAAUCCGCCUGCAAUGCCGGAGACCUGGGUUCGAUCCCUGGGUUGGGGAA